Molecule: long non-coding RNA, 2123 nt
Organism: Fopius arisanus
Lineage: Eukaryota; Metazoa; Arthropoda; Insecta; Hymenoptera; Braconidae
Exons: 3
Source: RefSeq, a predicted model, not a curated record
CGUCCUUGACAGAGCAAACAGAGCCAAAUGCUUGUGCGCCGACACAACCCCCACUAUCACUACUCUAUUUUCUUGAACCUGAAGGGUUCGUAUUUUUUGUGCACCUACGCAUCCCCUCGACCGGAAACUACCACUUCAAUGCGAAUUAUUGACCACUUUUUCAGGACAUUUCUCACUCAUUCUUUUCUACUUUUUAUCAUCACUCUGUACUACAUACAUACACAAGUUAAUUCGCGUAUAUUUAAAUGUGGUAUAUGGUUUUAGGGGCGUCCUCUGACUUAGUCUGUACUUCUCGUCGUGGGAGAAGAGUAAUUAAACGUGCUGGAGCAGAGAGAACUUCCCAGAACAGAGAUAGCGAGACUUUUGUUUUUUUUUGCAGAGAGAGUAAACGAGAGAGACCGAGGAGAUGGGGUUUUAGGAUGGACAAAGCGAUGAUGAUGCUUUCUUCAGAGGAACAUGGUCAAGUCUCUGGAAGGAUUCUCCUGUGUAUUGAGAGAUGCUGACGCUGAGGGAUUAGCUGCAAUUCAAUUGGCAACUCCACUUUUUUUAUUCUUUGUAUUUUUCUGCAGUUGAGGGAAUACACCGGCGAACAGUACAAUUACAGUCACUUGCGUGGGCAGAGGUGGAUCUAAUUGGAAAAAUUGUGUUCGAGGAAAAAUGGAAAUAAUAUAUACAGGGGAUAUCCAUUCAAUUGACAGAUGCAGAUAUGUACGUCUCAUUCAUUCCAGUGAUGCGUCUCUCUCACUCUGGCAUCAUUAAUAUCGAUUCGCGUCUCGUGGAAUCAAAAAUAGCGUUUCUAUCUAUCACCGAGGAGGGAAGACCAAUCUCGCACUCCAAUUGGUCAGCACCAUUGUGCUUGGCCGAUCGACCUGUGACCCCUUGUACGCGAGUUCCACUAAAAAUGGAAUUGAAGUGAAAAAUUUGCAACAAAAAAUUGAAAACGCAGGGCAAUUGUAAUGCACUGGAGUUGGUGUAAAUUGAAGGUGAUGCUGGACUACACCACGAACUUGAAAGUCAAACAGAGUUAUACAAUCGUUAUCUGUCAGACGCAUGGUAAUUUCAUAUUUAAUUCGUUAUCACACGAAUUUACGUGAUUUAAUACUCAGUGAUUCAUGGAAUACGGAAAAUAAAUUCAAUGAAUUCCCAAUGAGUUUUCUCAUUAUAAAUUUGUCAAUUGGAGAACGAAGAGUGAUAGGGAUAUAAAUGUAAUGAGCGGUGAGUAGCGUUCGCCAUUUUGUCGCCGCUGAGGUCAACUGCGAAAUGGAUGCUGCGGACGAUCCGCAAAAGUUUGACGUGGAAUUCCUCGGUGCAAUUUGACUUUAACGUUGACCCUGCUUCGGAUAUAUACGACUCCAGUCACUGGGUAAGACGUAGAAGUGCCCUUGCCAGUCUCGGGUGCUUCCCUAUCUGCUUCCACGUCCUAUCCUAACUGCGCACUACAGAACUUCAGACUCAAGGGCGAGGGAAAGAGAAAGAGAGAACCAGAGAGAGUGCACCAGUGAUAAAGGCAAGGAGAUUAAGGGAGAGAGAGAUUGAAAGAGAAAAGUGAAGAAGGUUUUAUGUUCGGAGGGAGAGGGCAGUGAGAGGAUGAAUAGAAAGAGGCACUUGGGGCCGGAUAUGGGGUUUUGGAGUUAAAUGGUGUGCGGUGUUGAGGUUUGAAGUUUUCUUCUGACGGCCCUGCCGCCUAAAGUCACAAGGACUGCAGUGAAUGAAGUUGAAGUGGAAAGAGACGGUUCACUGGGUGAAUUCCACGGGGCGAUUGGCGCGACGUCUUCAGGGAAGAGGAAAGGUAAAGCCGAUUAGAGUGACACCGGAACCCGGUGGUGGAGAUGACGGAAGUGUGUGACAGCGGGAGUUUUUGAAUAAAUUCGGAGAAAUGAAAAUGUCGGAGAUUGUUUCGGAAAAUAUUCCAGGGCGUGUUUAUUUGUUUUACACGUCAAAUGAUGAAAAUAGUGGAGGAAAAUAAUCAGAAUAUUACCUUGAUAAGGGAAGAUGCAACUAAUAUAUUUUUUUCAAUGAUUUACAUUGUCUCCACUCCAUCGUCAAUUCAAUACGACGUAUUAAUUUCUAUGUAUGAGUUUGUGAACAUUCUCUGUGCACCAUUUGUGGAGUGGUAAAUUAUU